CUCUAGAAGGAGGACAUGGAAUCUUAAAAUGGGGACCAUCACCACUACCGCCAAUACCAAUUGGUGUGUCCUCGGGCUCCAGCCUCAAUGGCGUCCCUUCUAUUUCUCCCCAUGUAAUGAAUGGUGAUUCAUCCACACCUGGUGCAGGUGAGGGCGUUUUCACAUAACUAUACCCAUUAUCUGCUCUCUUUCUAGAUUCCACAUAAAAUGGAUUCGGCGUCUUCCUCAAAUCCUCUAAAUCAUACUUCUUAGACUUAUCCCCUUCCCUCUCUGACAAUGAUAAUGGUACAGGAGUAGCACCUGGAAUGGGGGUAUACAAUACUGCAACAGUAUCCUCAUCUUUCGGCCUAGAAUCCAUCAAUUUACCAUGAAACCUAGUGUUUGUGAGGUUAACUUCCUUUGUCAAACCGUUAAGCCUCUCUGCCCGUUCCUCCUCGGUC
RNAcentral lists this long non-coding RNA (440 nucleotides) under Vitis vinifera (wine grape). RNAcentral describes it as "long non-coding RNA (VVIN_LNC003767)". Lineage: Eukaryota; Viridiplantae; Streptophyta; Magnoliopsida; Vitales; Vitaceae. The record is from RNAcentral.